Molecule: ribosomal RNA, 2060 nt
Filed under: Corynebacterium glutamicum
Lineage: Bacteria; Bacillati; Actinomycetota; Actinomycetes; Mycobacteriales; Corynebacteriaceae
Description: partial 23S ribosomal RNA
Rfam family: Bacterial large subunit ribosomal RNA
Source: RNAcentral
UUUGUUGUUUUGUAGGGCACACGGUGGAUGCCUUGGCAUAUCAAGCCGAUGAAGGACGUGAGAGGCUGCGUUAUGCCUCGGGGAGUUGCCAACUAAGCGUUGAUCCGAGGAUGUCCGAAUGGGGAAACCCAGCCGCAGUGAUGUGUGGUUACCUGCCAGUGAAUGUAUAGCUGGUGUGGAGGUUUACACGGGGAAGUGAAACAUCUCAGUACCCGUAGGAGAAGAAAACAAUUGUGAUUCCGUUAGUAGUGGCGAGCGAACGUGGAUGAUGGCUAAAACUUAUGUGUGUGAUACCCGGCAGGGGUUGCAUGUAGGUGGUUGUGGGGCAAUAACAUCCAUAUUCUGCCGGAUGUGGGCAUGUGCUGCGUGGUUAGUGGAAGUGGUGUGGAAACACCUGCCGUAGAAGGUGAGAGUCCUGUACACGAAGAUCAUGGUGGUGUGUGUGGUUGUUGAUACCCCGAGUAGCAGCGGGCUCGUGGAAUCUGCUGUGAAUUAGCCGGGACCACCCGGUAAGCCUGAAUACUUGAUAUGACCGAUAGCGGAUUAGUACCGUGAGGGAAUGGUGAAAAGUACCCCGGGAGGGGAGUGAAAUAGUACCUGAAACCGUGUGCUGUCAAUCCGUCAGAGCAUCCUUAUGUGGUGUGAUGGCGUGCCUUUUGAAGAAUGAGCCUGCGAGUCAGCGGCAUGUCGCGAGGUUAACCCGUGUGGGGUAGCCGUAGGGAAACCGAAUCCUAACGAGGGUGUUUUAGUGGCAUGUCUUGGACCCGAAGCGGAGUGAUCUACCCAUGGCCAGUGUGAAGCAGCUGUAAGAGGUUGUGGAGGCGCGAACCCACUUAGGUUGAAAACUGAGGGGAUGAGUUGUGGGUAGGGGUGAAAGGCCAAUCAAACUCCGUGAUAGCUGGUUCUCCCCGAAAUGCAUUUAGGUGCAGCGUCGUGUGUUUCUUGCCGGAGGUAGAGCUACUGGAUGGUUUAGCGGGACCAACAUCUUAGCGACAUCAGCCAAACUCCGAAUGCCGGUAAGUGAGAGCACGGCAGUGAGACUGCGGGGGAUAAGCUUCGUAGUCGAGAGGGAAACAGCCCAGAUCGCCGGCUAAGGCCCCUAAGGGUGUGCUAAGUGGAAAAGGAGGUGGGGUCGCGAAGACAGCCAGGAGGUUGGCUUAGAAGCAGCCAUCCUUGAAAGAGUGCGUAAUAGCUCACUGGUCGAGUGAUUCCGCGCCGACAAUGUAGUGGGGCUUAAGUACACCGCCGAAGCCGCGGCAAUGAUCUUUAUUGGAUUGUUGGGUAGGGGAGCGUCGUGCAUGCGUUGAAGCUUUGGGGUGACCUUGGGUGGAGUGUGUGCGAGUGAGAAUGCAGGCAUGAGUAACGAAUGAUGCGUGAGAAACGUAUCCGCCGGAUGACUAAGGGUUCCUGGGUCAAGUUAAUCUUCCCAGGGUGAGUCGGGGCCUAAGGCGAGGCCGACAGGCGUAGUCGAUGGAUAACGGGUUGAUAUUCCCGUACCCGAGUAUGAGCGACCAUGGUGAAUCAGUGAUACUAACCACCCAUAAGCACCCGCGAAAAGGCUUUGCUUUUUUGUGGUGUGUGGUUGCGUGGGACCUGAUCUGGUAGUAGCUAAGUGAUGGGGUGACGCAGGGAGGUAGCUCAGCCACUUAUUGGAUUGUGGUGUAAGCGUGUGGCACGCAGUGUUGGUAAAUCCGCACUGUUUUUGUGUGAGGCGUGAUGCGGAGCCCGUAAAGGGUGAAGUGGGUGAUCCUGUGCUGUCGAGAAAAGCCUCUAGCGAUGUUGAUAUUCGGCCCGUACCCUAAACCGACACAGGUAGUCAGGUAGAGAAUACUAAGGCGUUCGGGUGAACUGUGGUUAAGGAACUCGGCAAAAUGCCCCCGUAACUUCGGGAGAAGGGGGGCCACGGCGUGUGAACAACUUUUCGUUGGGAGCGUGUUGUGGUCGCAGAGAAUAGAGGGAAGCGACUGUUUACUAAAAACACAGGUCCGUGCGAAGACGUUUAAGUUGAUGUAUACGGACUGACGCCUGCCCGGUGCUGGAAGGUUAAGAGGACCGGUUAG